UUGAAAUCUACCACUAGUGAGUCGUGUGAACAGCUGUACAGCAGGGGAGAUCAUUUGUGUUUGACCACGUGCUUUGUACACACCCAACACACCGGAACAUAUCGAGUAAGUGUGACUGCAUCUCAAAACAUUGGGUUGUAAUGAUUAUUUGUUCUGCACUAAGAAGUAUUGUGGCUUGGAAAUAAUGUAUUUUUAUUUCUGUUUUCCUAUUAAGCAAGCCACUGCUGUUGUCUAUUGUGGCGUAAUUGUAAUCUGUUAAAUGAUUUUCUUUGAUCUCUUAGAUCCCUUUUCGACCUCUUUUAAAAUUCAGUUAACAUCUCAGUCUUUCAUCUUAAUGCUGAACAAUUUUUCAUUGUUCAGUCGGGAAUAAAGCCCACCUAAAAAUUA
Hippocampus zosterae (dwarf seahorse) is the source of this 387-nucleotide long non-coding RNA. RefSeq lists it as uncharacterized. NCBI's taxonomy places the organism in Eukaryota, Metazoa, Chordata, Actinopteri, Syngnathiformes, Syngnathidae. The record is from RefSeq and is a predicted model, not a curated record. The transcript is spliced from 2 exons.